CAUAGGUUAAUGAGGCGAACCGGGGGAACUGAAACAUCUAAGUACCCCGAGGAAAAGAAAUCAACCGAGAUUCCCCCAGUAGCGGCGAGCGAACGGGGAGGAGCCCAGAGCCUGAAUCAGUGUGUGUGUUAGUGGAAGCGUCUGGAAAGGCGUGCGAUACAGGGUGACAGCCCCGUACACAAAAAUGCACAUAUUGUGAGCUCGAUGAGUAGGGCGGGACACGUGGUAUCCUGUCUGAAUAUGGGGGGACCAUCCUCCAAGGCUAAAUACUCCUGACUGACCGAUAGUGAACCAGUACCGUGAGGGAAAGGCGAAAAGAACCCCGGCGAGGGGAGUGAAAAAGAACCUGAAACCGUGUACGUACAAGCAGUGGGAGCCUCUUUAUGGGGUGACUGCGUACCUUUUGUAUAAUGGGUCAGCGACUUAUAUUCUGUAGCAAGGUUAACCGAAUAGGGGAGCCGAAGGGAAACCGAGUCUUAACUGGGCGUUAAGUUGCAGGGUAUAGACCCGAAACCCGGUGAUCUAGCCAUGGGCAGGUUGAAGGUUGGGUAACACUAACUGGAGGACCGAACCGACUAAUGUUGAAAAAUUAGCGGAUGACUUGUGGCUGGGGGUGAAAGGCCAAUCAAACCGGGAGAUAGCUGGUUCUCCCCGAAAGCUAUUUAGGUAGCGCCUCGUGAAUUCAUCUCCGGGGGUAGAGCACUGUUUCGGCAAGGGGGUCAUCCCGACUUACCAACCCGAUGCAAACUGCGAAUACCGGAGAAUGUUAUCACGGGAGACACACGGCGGGUGCUAACGUCCGUCGUGAAGAGGGAAACAACCCAGACCGCCAGCUAAGGUCCCAAAGUCAUGGUUAAGUGGGAAACGAUGUGGGAAGGCCCAGACAGCCAGGAUGUUGGCUUAGAAGCAGCCAUCAUUUAAAGAAAGCGUAAUAGCUCACUGGUCGAGUCGGCCUGCGCGGAAGAUGUAACGGGGCUAAACCAUGCACCGAAGCUGCGGCAGCGACACUAUGUGUUGUUGGGUAGGGGAGCGUUCUGUAAGCCUGUGAAGGUGGCCUGUGAGGGUUGCUGGAGGUAUCAGAAGUGCGAAUGCUGACAUAAGUAACGAUAAAGCGGGUGAAAAGCCCGCUCGCCGGAAGACCAAGGGUUCCUGUCCAACGUUAAUCGGGGCAGGGUGAGUCGACCCCUAAGGCGAGGCCGAAAGGCGUAGUCGAUGGGAAACAGGUUAAUAUUCCUGUACUUGGUGUUACUGCGAAGGGGGGACGGAGAAGGCUAUGUUGGCCGGGCGACGGUUGUCCCGGUUUAAGCGUGUAGGCUGGUUUUCCAGGCAAAUCCGGAAAACCAAGGCUGAGGCGUGAUGACGAGGCACUACGGUGCUGAAGCGACAAAUGCCCUGCUUCCAGGAAAAGCCUCUAAGCAUCAGGUAACAUCAAAUCGUACCCCAAACCGACACAGGUGGUCAGGUAGAGAAUACCAAGGCGCUUGAGAGAACUCGGGUGAAGGAACUAGGCAAAAUGGUGCCGUAACUUCGGGAGAAGGCACGCUGAUAUGUAGGUGAAGCGACUUGCUCGUGGAGCUGAAAUCAGUCGAAGAUACCAGCUGGCUGCAACUGUUUAUUAAAAACACAGCACUGUGCAAACACGAAAGUGGACGUAUACGGUGUGACGCCUGCCCGGUGCCGGAAGGUUAAUUGAUGGGGUUAGCGGUAACGCGAAGCUCUUGAUCGAAGCCCCGGUAAACGGCGGCCGUAACUAUAACGGUCCUAAGGUAGCGAAAUUCCUUGUCGGGUAAGUUCCGACCUGCACGAAUGGCGUAAUGAUGGCCAGGCUGUCUCCACCCGAGACUCAGUGAAAUUGAACUCGCUGUGAAGAUGCAGUGUACCCGCGGCAAGACGGAAAGACCCCGUGAACCUUUACUAUAGCUUGACACUGAACAUUGAGCCUUGAUGUGUAGGAUAGGUGGGAGGCUUUGAAGUGUGGACGCCAGUCUGCAUGGAGCCGACCUUGAAAUACCACCCUUUAAUGUUUGAUGUUCUAACGUUGGCCCGUAAUCCGGGUUGCGGACAGUGUCUGGUGGGUAGUUUGACUGGGGCGGUCUCCUCCUAAAGAGUAACGGAGGAGCACGAAGGUUGGCUAAUCCUGGUCGGACAUCAGGAGGUUAGUGCAAUGGCAUAAGCCAGCUUGACUGCGAGCGUGACGGCGCGAGCAGGUGCGAAAGCAGGUCAUAGUGAUCCGGUGGUUCUGAAUGGAAGGGCCAUCGCUCAACGGAUAAAAGGUACUCCGGGGAUAACAGGCUGAUACCGCCCAAGAGUUCAUAUCGACGGCGGUGUUUGGCACCUCGAUGUCGGCUCAUCACAUCCUGGGGCUGAAGUAGGUCCCAAGGGUAUGGCUGUUCGCCAUUUAAAGUGGUACGCGAGCUGGGUUUAGAACGUCGUGAGACAGUUCGGUCCCUAUCUGCCGUGGGCGCUGGAGAACUGAGGGGGGCUGCUCCUAGUACGAGAGGACCGGAGUGGACGCAUCACUGGUGUUCGGGUUGUCAUGCCAAUGGCACUGCCCGGUAGCUAAAUGCGGAAGAGAUAAGUGCUGAAAGCAUCUAAGCACGAAACUUGCCCCGAGAUGAGUUCUCCCUGACUCCUUGAGAGUCCUGAAGGAACGUUGAAGACGACGACGUUGAUAGGCCGGGUGUGUAAGCGCAGCGAUGCGUUGAGCUAACCGGUACUAAUGAACCGUGAGGCUUAACCUU
RNAcentral lists this ribosomal RNA (2741 nucleotides) under Escherichia coli. RNAcentral describes it as "partial 23S ribosomal RNA". It matches the Rfam family "Bacterial large subunit ribosomal RNA". The record is from RNAcentral. Lineage: Bacteria; Pseudomonadati; Pseudomonadota; Gammaproteobacteria; Enterobacterales; Enterobacteriaceae.